UACGGAGGGUGCAAGCGUUAUCCGGAUUUACUGGGUUUAAAGGGUGCGUAGGUGGGUUGGGAAGUCAGUGGUGAAAUACUUUCGCUUAACGAAGGAACUGCCAUUGAUACUAUCAAUCUUGAAUGUAGUGGAGGUAGGCGGAAUGCGUCAUGUAGCGGUGAAAUGCUUAGAUAUGACGCAGAACACCAAUUGCGAAGGCAGCUUGCUACACUACUAUUGACACUGAGGCACGAAAGCGUGGGGAUCAAACAGG
Molecule: ribosomal RNA, 253 nt
Filed under: uncultured bacterium
Lineage: Bacteria
Also listed under: 1 other name
Description: partial 16S ribosomal RNA
Rfam family: Bacterial small subunit ribosomal RNA
Source: RNAcentral